RNAcentral lists this ribosomal RNA (497 nucleotides) under uncultured bacterium. RNAcentral's name for it is "partial 16S ribosomal RNA". It matches the Rfam family "Bacterial small subunit ribosomal RNA", at positions 28 to 507 of the family's 1533-position model. The record is from RNAcentral.
GAUGAACGCUGGCGGCGUGCCUAAUACAUGCAAGUAGAACGCUGAAGCUUGGUGCUUGCACCGAGCGGAUGAGUUGCGAACGGGUGAGUAACGCGUAUGUAACCUGCCUGGUAGCGGGGGAUAACUAUUGGAAACGAUAGCUAAUACCGCAUAACAGUAGAUAUUGCAUGAUAUCUGCUUGAAAGGUGCAAAUGCAUCACUACCAGAUGGACCUGCGUUGUAUUAGCUAGUUGGUGAGGUAACGGCUCACCAAGGCGACGAUACAUAGCCGACCUGAGAGGGUGAUCGGCCACACUGGGACUGAGACACGGCCCAGACUCCUACGGGAGGCAGCAGUAGGGAAUCUUCGGCAAUGGGGGGAACCCUGACCGAGCAACGCCGCGUGAGUGAAGAAGGGUUUCGGAUCGUAAAGCUCUGUUGUAAGAGAAGAACGAGUGUGAGAGUGGAAAGUUCACACUGUGACGGUAUCUUACCAGAAAGGGACGGCUAACUACGUG